Molecule: unclassified non-coding RNA, 343 nt
Filed under: soil metagenome
Description: partial contains 5.8S ribosomal RNA, internal transcribed spacer 2, and large subunit ribosomal RNA
Rfam family: 5.8S ribosomal RNA (bases 1-120)
Source: RNAcentral
GAUGAAGAACGCAGCGAAAUGCGAUAAGUAAGGUGAAUUGCAGAAUCCAGUGAAUCAUCGAAUCUUUGAACGCACAUUGCGCCCGCCAGCAUUCUGGCGGGCAUGCCUGUUCGAGCGUCAUUUCAACCCUCGACCUCCCUUUGGGGAAGUCGGCGUUGGGGACCGGCAGCACACCGCCGGCCCUGAAAUGGAGUGGCGGCCCGUCCGCGGCGACCUCUGCGUAGUAAUCCAACUCGCACCGGAACCCCGACGCGGCCACGCCGUAAAACACCCAACUUCUGAACGUUGACCUCGAAUCAGGUAGGACUACCCGCUGAACUUAAGCAUAUCAAUAAGCGGAGGA